AGAGAUAUAGCUAAAAGGUUAAAGCGACGGUUUUUGAUACCGCUAUUUAUUGGUUCGAAUCCAAUUAUUUCUG
This 73-nucleotide transfer RNA is filed under the name Phaeocystis cordata. Its description in RNAcentral is "tRNA-Gln". It matches the Rfam family "tRNA". Rfam says of the family: Transfer RNA (tRNA) molecules are approximately 80 nucleotides in length. Their secondary structure includes four short double-helical elements and three loops (D, anti-codon, and T loops). The record is from RNAcentral. RNAcentral also lists the same sequence under 1 other name. Lineage: Eukaryota; Haptophyta; Phaeocystales; Phaeocystaceae.